CUACGGGGUGCUGCAGUGAGGAAUAUUGCACAAUGGGGGGAACCCUGAUGCAGCAACGCCGCGUGGAGGAUGACGCAUUUCGGUGUGUAAACUCCUUUUAUAUGUCAAGAAAAUGACGGUAGCAUAUGAAUAAGCACCGGCUAACUCCGUGCCAGCAGCCGCGGUAAUACGGAGGGUGCAAGCGUUACUCGGAAUCACUGGGCGUAAAGUACGCGUAGGCGGGUUGGAAAGUCAGGUGUGAAAUCCUACAGCUUAACUGUAGAACUGCACUUGAAACUUCUAAUCUAGAGUAUGGGAGGGGGAGAUGGAAUUAGUGGUGUAGGGGUAAGAUCCGUAGAUAUCACUAGGAAUACCUAAAGCGAAGGCGAUCUCCUGGAACAUUACUGACGCUAAGGCGUGAAAGCGUGGGGAGCAAACAGGAUUAGAUACCCUCGUAGUC
Molecule: ribosomal RNA, 439 nt
Filed under: uncultured bacterium
Lineage: Bacteria
Description: partial 16S ribosomal RNA
Rfam family: Bacterial small subunit ribosomal RNA
Source: RNAcentral